Molecule: ribosomal RNA, 774 nt
Filed under: uncultured Neocallimastigales
Lineage: Eukaryota; Fungi; Neocallimastigomycota; Neocallimastigomycetes; Neocallimastigales
Description: partial large subunit ribosomal RNA
Rfam family: Eukaryotic large subunit ribosomal RNA
Source: RNAcentral
AGAGAGAGACAUGCGCGCAUAUCAAUAAGCGGAGGAAAAGAAACUAACAAGGAUUCCCCUAGUAACGGCGAGUGAAGCGGGAAGAGCUCAAAUUUGAAAUCUUAAAGGGUUUCCCUUUACGAAUUGUAGUUUAAAGAAGUGUUUUCUGUUGAGGUUUUGGUAAAAGUUCUUUGGAAUAGGACAUCAUAGAGGGUGAGAAUCCCGUAUUUGACCUUUACUUUCAACUUUGUGAUACACUUUCAAAGAGUCGGAUUGUUUGGGAAUGCAGUCCAAAAUGGGUGGUAAAUUUCAUCUAAAGCUAAAUAUUGGCGAGAGACCGAUAGCGAACAAGUACCGUGAGGGAAAGAUGAAAAGAACUUUGAAAAGAGAGUUAAACAGUACGUGAAAUUGUCAAAAGGGAAGCGUUUGACACCAGUGUUGUUUUUCUGAAGAUCAAUUAAAGAACUGUUUAUGCUAAGCUGUUUAGACUUUAUCAGCUAUCUGUUUAGUUUUGAGCUUUUCUUUAAUGCACUUUUCAGUUAACAAGUCAACAUCAAUUUCUUUUGCUGUAAAAAAGCUUGAGGAAGGUGGCUUGAGAUUCGUCUUAAGUGUUUAUAGCCUCUUGCCUAUGCAGUCGGAGAGAUUGAGGUCUGCAGCGUAGAUCCUUCGGGGCUAAAUGCAUUUGUGCUAAGUUAUAGCAUUUUAUAGACAACUUGUUGACUAUGAUUUGUCUUGUAGCUUACUCGCUUAUGUUAUUUUACCUACGCUUAGGAUGUUGACGCAUGAGAUAUACGC